This 61-nucleotide unclassified non-coding RNA is filed under the name Sorangium cellulosum So ce56. RNAcentral describes it as "sce_SECIS_12". The record is from RNAcentral. Lineage: Bacteria; Pseudomonadati; Myxococcota; Polyangiales; Polyangiaceae.
CUUUCGGGGAAAUUCACAGGGAGGCAGGGAGACGGGGAGUAAAAUCCCCAAAAUCUCCCCG